UUUUUGAAACGGUUAGGCGAGGUGCGUGGACACGGGUUAGGGUAAGAGAGGGCAGGACGAGGUGUGGUCGGCGGUGUGUUGGAUCGGGGAAGGAGUAGCUAGGGGUGUUGGGGAGGGAGGAGGAGCAAGGAGCGGUCCCGGGUAGGGGUGUUGGGGAGGGAGGAGGAGCGAGGAGCGGCACCGGAGGCGGGAUCCUCGGAGCGGGCCCGGAGGAUGAGGGAGAGGUGGUAGCAUCCACGUGUGUCUGCCGCCUAGACACGGCCUCUUCUCGUCGAGACCACCCCACGUCGACGUUGUCUCUACUUCCUCCAGGCGGCGGGCAGAAACGGAGGAGUUGCACAGGAACAACGACUCGGAUCGUCGCGUCGUCAGCCCCUGUUCCCCUUCCUCGUCCGGCUGGGCUGGCGUAGAGAAACGUGCUCCUGACCUCCUCGUUCAGCGCUCCCUUCGGCCGUGCCGGUCGCCGCCGCGACGUGUCCCUGCGGGCGGAGGCCAAAAGAUAGGACAGAGGGUUAGGGGGGAGUGAGGAGGAGCGAGGCUCCUUAACCCGUUACCGUGCCCCCACCUUGACCGGCUCCUUCUCCCGCUGGCACUACCCAACCUCCGGUUCCUUCUCCCGCUGUUGCGUUCCCACUUGCUCCCAUACGGACACCAGCAGCGCAACACUUUGCUGCGCUGACCCCUAUGUCUAAACAAAGGAAGGAGCGGAGUUGCUACUCGAGACGAAGAACUCGAACGUACAACACCUGAAAGAGAAGAGGAGAACAACCGAACGAGAGACUAGUUCGGUACCUUCCCUAUACACCUCUCUCGAAAUGAUAACCGUCACCGGCGUAGUAAAGCUGUUCACCGUACUAACUAGAAACGAUACACCUAGCUACCGUACUAGAUUUAAUCCAUUCGUUUCCACUGUAACAAAAGUCAUGUAGUCAAAUGACUUAUAAAACUUCCAAACUCGACGUAUUGAAUAUGUUAAAAUCGACGAAUAGAAAUAGUACAAUAGGUCAAGAAUGGUAUGGUAAACCAUCUAUUUACACGGCUAGAUGGUAACAUCUUAAUCAUGACAAAAAGUCGAUACACAUUAACCAGUUGAUACACGACAAUCAGUCGGUGAAGGUGAAAACCUACUAAUUAAAAAACGUACUUCCAAGUCUCUUACCGAAUAUAACGGAAGGUCAGGUGCACAAUUUGGCUUUUCACGGAAUGUACUUCUGACUACCGUUAUACCAAACCCGUAUCUCAAUUAUUACAACAGACUAAUAACACCCUACUAUAAGGGUGACUACUACUUUUGAUAUUGGUUCUACAUGGUUGAAAACGGAACGAUGAAACUACACAUGAAUAAUUUUGUCUACGAGCCGAACGGAACAGAAAAAACAACGGAGAAAAACCAGAACCAUUCAUGUUCAUGACCAACAAUAGGGGGGAAACCUGUAACUUACAUUAAAAUUCCAAAAGCAUUCCUACCUAUCCACGACCCACGGUAGGUCUAGAAGCACAAACUACGACCCUCGUUAAGAGUCUAACAGACACGUACUUAACCAGUUAAGAGGAAAGAGAACGUCUCACAGAAUAAAUAGGCUCCACCUAAGAAUAGAAGAAUGGUGUACGAACCAUUUACGUGUAAAAAGAAAGUAAAACCGAUCUGAAUCCGUUGGAAUGUGUUAAAUCUAUAGAAAAUGUCCUUGAAUAAGUUGAUCACACAACACUUAUACUUUGCCGUGUUUAACAAUGAAAUCACUCUUCAAGGACUUGUACCAGAGAUACAGAGACUGAACCAACUAACCCAAAGAAGACAAUAGGUCAGAGAGUGAUCCGAAUAAUGGAAACAACGACUUAAAACGGAUGUUAUAUAUAUUAACUGAGUGUACUGGUAGAAAUCAUGAAAUAUUAACCCAUCCUUUAAGUGUUAUUAGAAGGUUACAGCAUCGAACCUAUUUAUUAACACCGUAAUUUCAAUUUUGAUGUUUCUUCUAGUACCCUGUACUGAAUUAUAGUUUAAAAGAUCUCGGACCGUACCGUAAAUAAACACUGACGUACCGGACUUAACCCGUAGAUACCUUUGUACAAUUCGAGAACGAACUGUAAAUAAACACUGACGUGCCGGACUUAACCCGUAGAUACCUUUGUACAAUUCGAGAACGAAAACCUGUUAAUCCGACGGCAUUGAACGACCAAAUUAUAUGUGCACAGACGCCUUAAACGUUUACUUAGUAAUAGAGUCCAAAUCAGUACGUGUACCGGUGAUUAGUGUUGUUCCCAAUCCUUGUUCAGAUGAUAGAACUAAAAUUCAUUGACUUUAUAUGUAUAUCAAUUGAUACCAAAAUUCGAUGUGAAAUCAGAACAGGACUAUUGAUCUUGACGACACUACAACGAGACAAUAUUCAUGUAACGGAUGUGGUCAACUUUAUUGAGUACCAACGGAAAAGAAAACAAACAGGUCCGUUACAUACCAUCUUCCACAUUUAUCACAUCUAAGUCACAAGACAUAUAAAUACUUUAAGUGUUAGUCGUCACAGUACACACUACGCGGUACUUAGCAUCACUCGAAUAAAGAAACGUGUGAACCACAUAGGAGAAUAGUAGAAAACAUAUCCAGGACCUUACCUUUCUAGUCAAACCACCACGGUAUGACUUAGUUAAUACAUCCGAACCGUGGAGGGAACUAACCAGGCACUCCAUAUGAAGAAUAAAAGGAAUCAAUUCUUUUUAUUUCUUUUGUUUAUUUGUUACAUAACAGAUAUCAAGGUUGAGGGUUACAGUUGAAUUAAAGGUGGAGCACACAGUCAGGAAAUGUUACCUACUCAUUUCCAGUUUUGACAUUAACUUCGAAAAGAGUCCAACAUAUUUCUACCGGAAUAAAUAUCCAAUCAUAGGAGUAGAAGGGAACAAGGUCCACAAUUCGUAAACACAAAACGGACAAUUCAUUACGGUACCACAAAACUGUAGCUCGAUACUCAGUCACAUGACCAAACUGUCUAGCAUAACAGUAUAAGUGGAGAAGAGACCUAUAUUUCAUCUUAAUCAAUCAAAAUCCAAACUUACAGUCCGUUUUUAGUUUACCCUCUUCGCUGGAUAGUCAGGUCUAAGAUUAACAAUAAACCACAACUCUAAGUAUACCGACUGUGUAUUAAAAUUGACCCGCUAAAGUCUACAUUAGAUAACGGAGAGACUACACUAGAAGAUGUUUUAAUACAGAGUUGGUAGAGAUAAAUGUAAUGAUGACAUUCGAAGACUUUCCAUUUAAUACGAUCCUGUUAAGAACAAAUCGAAAUUGAUACUAUAGGAUUUACGCGUUCAUUUAUGAUGACCCUAAUGCUGAUGUUUUCUAUAAUACUGUACGCUUGUUAAGAACCAACUUUAUGACACUCGAAUUUAUUAUCCUCGAUUUGACAAAACGACACAAAUCUUAACCAUGAUCUUUUCUAUUAGAUUUGACAUGUAAGACUUUCAUAUAACCUGAGAACGGGAAAACUUUAAUCAGAAGAUUCGUAAUGAAACAUUGUUUACUGUCCUAUUGAACGACCAAGUCAAAUUUCAACGUCCGUUUGCGAACGCUCGUUGGGAGUCGACCAGUAGUAGCGAGUACUACAACUGGGUCAACUCGACCAACACACCAAGGGUCGGGACACGUCCUUUAACCCUCCAGGGUAUGACGUAACAAUUCCCUCUUAGUGUGGCACCUGGCAUAUCCAUAAAGGAUUACAUUCACAGUACAAAAGGAAGAAACACGUGGACCUGCCCUCACGAGUACUCUCGCUGCUGUACGAUGACUUGAGUUAAAAUCUUUACUUAAACCCCCGGACACCAGACCUCGGGGAGUAAUCUUCACGAGUCCGCCGUACAGUGUCAACAAACGACUCUUAAAUGGUUCUUGUUAAAAAAGAACAGAGAUCGUACUCCGAUACUCGGGAUAUCAUCAAGGUCACACUACUAGAUGGUGAACAGAUCCUUCCCCCUAAUUUUCUACCGUGAACAGUAAACCUCGUUAAUCAUAACCUGAUAAACUACUUCAUUUAUAAAUUUGGUGAUUUGGAAUAUGAGUAAACAUUUUUCCAAUACACAAAAAAAUUAGGUAAUCGUCUCAAUCAAACAGAUCUUAUUGAUUGAUAGACCUCAAGACCUGAUUAUACCUUACUACUUUUAAAGUCUUGAUCUAUAUUUUAAACUACGCAGACCGAACAAAUUGAACGUCAGAAAUAAAAAUUAUUAAAACAACAACAACUCCAACGGGGAUCCAAAAUAAUGACACCCAGAUUAAAUCUAUUAAACUUUUAUCAGGAUAUAUCCUCAUACGAGUAGAUAUUGUCAACCCUCCCUUUAGUAUGGUUAAUGUCUAAAACAGUUUUGAACCGUAAUGAUAUACGUAUUUAGAUUUAAUAACAAGUAUUACCUAAGUGGUGAUGACAUGUAUUCGAUGUAAACGAUACGUAUAUUCGGCUUAAUCAUCGUGAUACAGGACAAAAGAACGAAGUUAUGGCACAUGAUGGAGAAAUGAAACAAGAGGUGUAAAAUUUAAAGUAGAAAGAAACCUUCAUAUCAGCGGUUGAAUACCAGACGUAACACAUAUUGACUUUACUCACUUCAAAGGAUUAUGGUAACAGAUAUUGACUUUACUCACAUCAAAGCAUUAUGGUUUCGUACACGUGAGUGUAUAAACAGAGAGAAAAUCACAACGACUUACGUAUUUUUUGUACGUGUACCGGCUUUCAAUUUUUUCAGGCUCCUUAACCCAAAAGUAAAAAGAGAAUCUUAACAAGUACAACUACGACAACAGUAAAAAAGACUUUAAAUCUGUUGAGAAAGGCGAAUUAUUAUCAAAUGGCUAAAGUCACGUAGGAUACAUACAAACUGACUAACCAGCAGGAGAGUAGGUCUCAAUGAGUCGCAACGUAAACACACAAGGAAAUGGGGUGAAACGAAUAAAAAACCAGUACACUCGCCCAACACACAAUAACAAAGGUAGCAGUAAAUCAUACGACUACAAAAAAUUCUACUGAAGAUAUAACGACCUUUGAAUUUAAAAUUAAAUAUGUAAACUCGUCGACUGAUCUAAUUCUUUAUUAAAAACAUUCUAACUCCGGUCAAAUAAACCAUUCCAUCUUCUUUUUAUCCUACUUAUACGUGUACAAUAAUGACGUGCUUCCGAUUUGAGACUUAUAGUAACUACCAAGAAAGGGCUCCAACUCAUCCUCACAGAGGGAAAAAGCAUAUUAAAACAGAGGUGUUAAAGGAUUUCUUAUCAAACCAAGAUCUUGUUUGUACGAUACUUAUUAACGUAACAAUGAAGUCACUUUUCAAGGACCCGUUUGAUACACAAGGAGACCUAAACCAACUUUCAUAAAGAAAACAAUAGGUUAAAGAGUGAUGUGUACAAUGGAAACAACGACUUAAAACGGAUGUUAAAGAUAUAUCAUCUGAGUGUACUAAUGGAGUACGCCUAAGAUAUUGAACCUUUUGUGUAGAUCCUAUAAGUACAACACACAACAAGGGACCUCUUUCGAAACUAUGAGGUCAGUCGGUGAAUGUGCUGUUGGGUCUUAACUAAGUAUUAAAGUACAAAUGUGAAGAUAAUGUCAUCUGGUUGUACAGUAUUUGUACCACAACCAGUAACAAACAGGUCAAGGGAAGUUUUUUCUUCUCUACCGUCUCUCACCGAGGUAGUGACUUCUCUGCUGCUUGUAAAACGUUCCGUAACAAAGAAGUCCAGGAAAUUUUUUAUUUCCUUAAUGUUACGUAGAUUGGAUAUUUCCCCGACACUUCCUGUUUUACGAUACCUGGGUCUCCUCACCCUCCCCUCUUAAAUGGUUGUUACGUAGUUCCUGUUUCGCACUGGACCAAAGGAUUCAAGGUCGAUUGUAUCGUUUUAACAUAUCUCUCUUACGGGCGUAAAACGAUAAUGUAUCAAACUCCGAUACAAAGAAAAUAAAAAGUAAUAAUUUUCGUAGGAAUAGUAACGAUUUAAUAGUUCGUAAAUAAAAGUUUAUUGAGAACCAAACUUCACCCCGGAAACGCGGAACGAGGUAAACCACGUUACUCAUUACAAUAAUAUGCAGAAUAACAUCUGUGGUUCGGAAACAAGAAAAAAACGCUUCUCCCCAAUUUAAACAAUUUGGUACGUAAAAGAAAGGUCACGUGUAUACUUAAGUCGUCCACGGACGCGGUAAACCGCUACUGUGGGAACGAGAUUUUUUUUCCAAGACACGAAUUAAAAUAAGGUAUCCAAAAUUCUGUAGUAAAGACAUUUACUAUCGAACGUUUUUACAACAUAUAAACCACUUCCUCCCUCAUAAUGAAUAGGUAAAAUUGUAACACUUACUAUUCAAUGUAUCCCCUCUUUGAAAUAGUGGUUGAUUUCAGAAACUAUACGUUUAUUAAGAGAUAAGUUUCAGUUCUAGUAUAUACGGGCUCAUUAAAACAAGUGUCAUGAACGAAUACUGCAAAUUCAACCGUAUGUACAGAAGGGUACUUGUGCAGAUAACUAUGUACAAAAAAAAGAGUUUCGCGUGCACAAUCAGCCAUAGACACAGUAAACGCAUGUACUAAAGUUUACCGAGAGACACUUGUACCAUCGUUCUUAAAACACGAUAGUUUAAUAUUAUACAUAUAUGAUGGAGGCAGCAAAUAACCAGAAGUAACAUAAAACACGGUUUAAAAUUGGUAUUUAAAUUGAUUGUUUUACAAGUACGUACAGUAGUUUUUAAUAUAAUUACUUUUGAUACAAGUUUAUGUUUAGAUUACUAUAUUAAAAACAACUGUACGUAAUUAUAAAAUAGUCUAUUUAUAAACCAGUUUUAAACCGUGUCUAAUGUCCUGGUUAUUUGGUCCUGCCUCCAUCAUGUAGAGUGACACUUUUUGUUAGGUGGUACAAAGAAUAAUUUCACCUAAUUUGGUACCUAAAAAAGUAGCGUGUGUACAUAAAUCACAUGGAGAUGCUGUAAAUCACGUUGUCCAGUUACUAUUGGUAUAAAAGUUGAUUUUGUUACGAAGGAAUCGACCAGAUUGGUAUAAUGUUAAAAAAAAGUUCGAGCCUAAAUCACACUAUUGGUAUAAAAGUCAUAUCGUACCAAAUUAUUUUUACUCGAAAGAUGAUGGCUAUAGCUUAUCCAGGAACGUUUUACUUUGAUAAAAGUAACUGUUGUACCUAAAUCGCCCAGAGACGCGGUAAACCGCGUUGCCUAGUUAAUCAUUCGAAUUGUCUAUCUUCUUAAAGACGUGACCAUAGCAUACACUCCUUUCUAAGGAUGUCCUUAAGAGAUACGAGGUUACGUCUACAUUCAUGGACAAUAUAUAGUGAUAUAAAAAUGUAGCCGUACAUAAAACAAUUAGCCGCACUUAGGUUGGAAAUAGACUAGAUUUAAAUCAACAUCGUUUUACAUACUAAUUUCCAGUGUUACAACUAAAAACAUUCCUUUUAACGGAUCAUCAAAACGUGGGACUCGACGUACUCACAUGAUGGAGUAUAGUCACCCAAACUUAUGAAAUAAAGACGUCACCUAAAAGUUACAAAAAAAAUGAUACAACAGGACAGCAUAGGGAUCGAUAAUGUAGUAUGAAGGAGGUAGGCCUAAUGUACAGUGUCUUUACCUAUUUUGAUCUACAUAGAUCUUGAUUUUAUGCGGAUCUGGGUAGGUAAAUAAAGGCCUACCUCCCUUAUGUACAGUUAUACAGUAUGGAAAGAUAAGAAGUCAUGGAUAAGGUAGAGACAACAUCGUACAAGAUAUUGACUUAGUGGUAAGAAGAUAUAUUCCGUAAGUUCCCCUUUUGCUGAUAUAAUCUUAGACUUCCCAAUGUUUGGUCCAGAAACGUUUUCUAGGUUUGCGGUCCUCUAUUAUUUGGUUGAGGUAAAAAGUAUCUAUGACGAGGUCGUGUCUCUUUGGGUUGAGGGUGACUAUUAUUCGUCUAAGGUCACCGGUUUCUUGAUCAGGCGAGGACAGGUCGAUUUCUUACAGUUGAGGUAAAAUUCUUCGCACACACAUAGGAGCGUAGUACUUUAAAAUAUCGUAAGACUAGUAUAAAAGAUGUACAAAGAAUGGGUAGAGAGAAAAUCUAUUAUUCCAAUUUACUAUCUUCUGAAGGAGGUAACCCUAGCAUAAGCUCUUUUUAUAGAACGCCCUUAAGAGACACGAGGUUACGACUAACCAGCUCUGUGUGAGGUGAUAGUUAUUAUGUUCUGACGGUUUUAGCGGUAGACUUAGACAAGUCAUAGGAGACAGAGUUUACGUUGUCUUAUUUACAUACAAACACUUGGUUAAUUACCGACUUCGUUACUACUUUUACCACCUACUUAGUCUCUACGUCUCAGCAUGCUGUGUUGUUGACUACUUACAAAGGUGUCUGUCACAUCGUUUCGUCGUUCUUGAACGGGCGUACGAAUACCCGCAGUAGACACGGCUCCAACGUCUAACACUGCAACAUCUACCAAUCCAAGACGAGUAAAUAAACGUGACCGUAGUUAGAAACUAACGGUUCACCUACAUUAAAGGACAUUAUAUACGACCUACACGUUGCCAUAAGGGACAUACAGCAUGGAAACGAACUAGCCAAAACCAGGACACGUAUUAACAAGCAGCAUUACCC
This 8580-nucleotide ribosomal RNA is filed under the name Triticum aestivum (bread wheat). Its description in RNAcentral is "partial small subunit ribosomal RNA". Lineage: Eukaryota; Viridiplantae; Streptophyta; Magnoliopsida; Poales; Poaceae. The record is from RNAcentral.